RNAcentral lists this unclassified non-coding RNA (200 nucleotides) under Nectria sp. (in: ascomycete fungi). Its description in RNAcentral is "Nectria sp. (in: Fungi) partial internal transcribed spacer 2". Lineage: Eukaryota; Fungi; Ascomycota; Sordariomycetes; Hypocreales; Nectriaceae. The record is from RNAcentral.
UUAAGUUCAGCGGGUAUUCCUACCUGAUCCGAGGUCAAACUUUCAGAAGUGGGGGGUUUAACGGCGUGGCCGCGCUGCGAUCCAGUGCGAGUGUUGCUACUACGCAGAGGAAGCUACAGCGAGACCGCCACUGGAUUUAGGAGACGGCCGCCCAGUAAAGGGUGUGGCCGAUCCCCAACACCGCCCCCGACAGAAGCCGG